CGUCCGGGACGACCGGGACGACCACCAGGGCGUCCGGGACGACCUGG
Non-coding RNA from Macrostomum lignano, 47 nucleotides. Lineage: Eukaryota; Metazoa; Platyhelminthes; Macrostomidae. The record is from Rfam.